GACAGUAUACAUUGAACAGCCAACAUGAUUUAGCAGGAGGCCAGAUUGAGAAUGUGGUGAGCAAGCUUAGCGUCGUCUAAGAAGCCAAAAGCAUUCCGGAGGCAUCCACCUUGACAAGAAGGACUGCUUUCAAUUUACUGUCUAUC
This 146-nucleotide non-coding RNA is filed under the name Legionella oakridgensis ATCC 33761 = DSM 21215. Its description in RNAcentral is "6S / SsrS RNA". It matches the Rfam family "6S / SsrS RNA", at positions 18 to 170 of the family's 187-position model. From Rfam's summary of the family: E. coli 6S RNA was the first non coding RNA to be sequenced, but its function was unknown until recently. It consists of 184 nucleotides that fold into an extended hairpin structure with a large single-stranded internal bulge. The 6S RNA specifically associates with RNA polymerase holoenzyme containing the sigma70 specificity factor. The record is from Rfam by way of RNAcentral. Lineage: Bacteria; Pseudomonadati; Pseudomonadota; Gammaproteobacteria; Legionellales; Legionellaceae.